UUGGCUUAGAAGCAGCCAUCCUUGAAAGAGUGCGUAAUAGCUCACUGGUCAAGUGAUUCUGCGCCGAUAAUGUAGCGGGGCUCAAGUACACCGCCGAAGUUGUGGCAAUGAUCUUUUUGGAUUGUUGGGUAGGGGAGCGUCGUGUGGCCGUUGAAGCUGCGGUGUAAACCAGUGGUGGAGGCUAUGCGAGUGAGAAUGCAGGCAUGAGUAGCGAAAGAUGAGUGAGAAACUCAUCCGCCGGAUGAUCAAGGGUUCCAGGGUCAAGUUAAUCUGCCCUGGGUUAGUCGGGGCCUAAGGCGAGGCCGACAGGCGUAGUCGAUGGAUAACGGGUUGAUAUUCCCGUACCAGUGAAGGACCGUCCAUACUGAUAUUGUGAUGCUAACCAUGCCGAUCACGGUGUCAUGAAGUUUUUCUUUGUGGUGUUGUGGGGUGUGUGGGACCCAAGCUUUGGAGGUAAGCGUGUUAACAGGUGUGACGCAGGAAGGUAGCCAAGCCACGCGAUGGUUGUCGUGGUCUAAGCGUGUAGGGUUGUCGGUUGUUAAAUGCGCCGGCUGUGUGCCUGAGACGUGAUGGGACCCCGUUUUUGGGGGAUUUGGUGAUCCUAUGCUGCCGAGAAAAGCAUCGGCGUGAGGUUUUAGCCGCCCGUACCCUAAACCGACACAGGUGAUCAGGUAGAGAAUACUAAGGCGAUCGAGAGAAUCAUGGUUAAGGAACUCGGCAAAAUGCCCCCGUAACUUCGGGAGAAGGGGGACCUUGAGCGUGAUGGGCACUUGCUGCCUGGAGCGUGUAUGGGUCGCAGAGACCAGGGGGAAGCGACUGUUUAUCAAAAACACAGGUCCGUGCGAAGUCGUAAGACGAUGUAUACGGACUGACUCCUGCCCGGUGCUGGAAGGUUAAGAGGAUUGGUUAGCUCUUUUGGGCGAAGCUGAGAAUUUAAGCCCCAGUAAACGGCGGUGGUAACUAUAACCAUCCUAAGGUAGCGAAAUUCCUUGUCGGGUAAGUUCCGACCUGCACGAAUGGAGUAACGACUUCCCUACUGUCUCAACCAUGAACUCGGCGAAAUUGCAGUACGAGUAAAGAUGCUCGUUUCGCGCAGCAGGACGGAAAGACCCCGUGACCUUUACUAUAGUUUGGUAUUGGUGUUUGGUUUGGCUUGUGUAGGAUAGGUGGGAGACUGUGAAGCAUGGACGCUAGUUUGUGUGGAGUCGUUGUUGAAAUACCACUCUGGUCAAUCUGGAUGUCUAACUUCGGGCCAUGAUCUGGUUCAGGGACAGUGCCUGAUGGGUAGUUUAACUGGGGCGGUUGCCUCCUAAAGUGUAACGGAGGCGCCCAAAGGUUCCCUCAGCCUGGUUGGCAAUCAGGUGUUGAGUGUAAGUGCACAAGGGAGCUUGACUGUGAGACUGGCAGGUCGAGCAGGGACGAAAGUCGGGACUAGUGAUCCGGCGGUACGUUGUGGAACGGCCGUCGCUCAACGGAUAAAAGGUACCUCGGGGAUAACAGGCUGAUCUUGCCCAAGAGUCCAUAUCGACGGCAUGGUUUGGCACCUCGAUGUCGGCUCGUCGCAUCCUGGGGCUGGAGUCGGUCCCAAGGGUUGGGCUGUUCGCCCAUUAAAGCGGUACGCGAGCUGGGUUCAGAACGUCGUGAGACAGUUCGGUCCCUAUCCGCUGCGCGCGUUGGAAAUUUGAGAAAGGCUGUCCUUAGUACGAGAGGACCGGGACGGACGAACCUCUGGUAUGUCAGUUGUACCGCCAGGUGCAUGGCUGAUUGGCUACGUUCGGGAGGGAUAACCGCUGAAAGCAUCUAAGCGGGAAGCCUGUUUCGAGAUGAGAUUUCCUGGCACUUUGG
Molecule: ribosomal RNA, 1845 nt
Filed under: human metagenome
Description: bacterial LSU rRNA
Rfam family: Bacterial large subunit ribosomal RNA
Source: RNAcentral